RNAcentral lists this ribosomal RNA (301 nucleotides) under uncultured bacterium. Its description in RNAcentral is "bacterial SSU rRNA". It matches the Rfam family "Bacterial small subunit ribosomal RNA", at positions 210 to 507 of the family's 1533-position model. The record is from RNAcentral.
CACAACGGACAAAAGAUGAGCAUGCCGUCCCAUUAGCUAGUUGGUAAGGUAACGGCUUACCAAGGCUACGAUGGGUAGGGGUCCUGAGAGGGAGAUCCCCCACACUGGUACUGAGACACGGACCAGACUCCUACGGGAGGCAGCAGUGAGGAAUAUUGGACAAUGGGCGCAAGCCUGAUCCAGCCAUGCCGCGUGCAGGAUGACGGUCCUAUGGAUUGUAAACUGCUUUUAUACAGGAAGAAACACUCCGACGUGUCGGAGCUUGACGGUACUGUAAGAAUAAGGAUCGGCUAACUCCGUG